Molecule: ribosomal RNA, 213 nt
Filed under: uncultured bacterium
Lineage: Bacteria
Description: partial 16S ribosomal RNA
Rfam family: Bacterial small subunit ribosomal RNA
Source: RNAcentral
UACGAAGGGGGCUAGCGUUGUUCGGAAUUACUGGGCGUAAAGCGCGCGCAGGCGGCUAUCCAAGUCAGUGGUGAAAGCCCGGAGCUCAACUCCGGAACUGCCAUUGAAACUGUUUAGCUUGAGGAUGAGAGAGGUGAGUGGAAUUCCCAGUGUAGAGGUGAAAUUCGUAGAUAUUGGGAAGAACACCGGUGGCGAAGGCGGCUCACUGGCUCG